UGAAAGUUACAAAGCCUGGUGUACUUCACAGAUCACUAACCCAGUUCAAGAGCAAGAAGUUGAAAGCAGUUGACCACCAGAUGGGAUGUUGUAGCUAUGAAGUAAUGAUGUUGAAAUAUGUUUCUGUUGAGCACGAGUCGUCUGGAGGGGAAGACCAGUUUGAUUUUGGUCAAUGCGGUGAGCAGAGGAUUCCUCAAAAUAUGAUUGCCACCUGAUUGAAUUAGGAGAAAAUCCCUCUUCAAGGCAGAAAGUAUCGUAUAGCAGUCUGGCCGAUUAUAACGCACAUGUGCUUUAAUGACACAACAUUUGAAGGAAGGAUUCAUCCACACAAUGUCUGAUCUUCACUCUAAUGUGAUCCCUGGAGCUGCACUUGCACAAUGAUGGAUCCAGUAUCUCUUGAUAGAUUUCUGCGGCAUAAUAGAUCUGGGAUACGCCGGUCAACUUUGUUACACUGCUGGAACGCUCAGAUUUUGAAGAGAUCUUCCUUCUUGAGUCUCUGAGAAGUAAUUUAUUUUUUAAUCACUCUGAAAUGUGGGUGUUUUAGUUCAAUUACCGACAUGCCGGCAAUUUUUCUCAAUGUUUCAUAUUUAUAUAUCUGCGUUUCAGGUAUAGUCGUUUUGCAGGAGCAACCAUUUGCAACGGAGCAGAAGAUGCCAUAAACUAUGCGAGUCUGACUGCUUACAAUAGUUUUAUCUUACCUGAGAUUGCUUGAGUCUUGCAAGAAAGAAAAUAAUUAUUUGCAACUAUUCUGAAUCAGCUGGGUUUUUUUUUUAACAUUAUUGGCAGGCCCCAUUUUGGCUGUAGAUGCAAGCUCAGAGUUUCCCAUGGACUGCAAGAAUCAGCCUGCUGUGGCUGGUUGGGUUCCUGGCAGAGUGAUUUGAUUUAAUAACGUAAAAUCACAUUGCCAGGGAUUACCAACCUGUCAACAGCUAAUGCCGACAACUUCUUGCAGAAAAUUGCAUCUUGCUAUUGGGGAGAGAGGAAUUGUACAUUUUUCCACGUCCUUAAUAAUCAAGGAAUCACUGGAACAAAAAAAAGAUGCAGCUGUAUCUACAUUGCCAUCAGCCAUCCCGAUCAUAUCGUAGCAGAUGUCCUGUACUCCCAUACAUUAAGAGUGGAAAGCCUUGCUUACUUUUACGAUACCCGUUCAUUUGGAAAGAUUGUGAUCAGACAAUGAGCAAUUCAAUGUUAGGUAGUAAUGUCAAAUGCACAGCAUCGUUUGAUGAUCAAUUAGACAUAACUCCUUAGUACUGUUUCCUUUGAUGUUAAUAAUUACGGAAACCAGGCGAGAUGCUUAACAGCACGCAAGGCCAAUAUCAGGAAUUUUAACCUAUUUAGCCUAACAACAAAAUCUCCAAAACCAGCUAGCUUCAUAGUCGUGCUUUAAUAUGAUUGUUUUACAGGAACACCAUCAAAUAACAUUUGCCACCAGGGCAGAUAAAGAGGUAAGGCUGUAGGAAGGAACUGCAGUUGCUCGUUAAAACCGAAGAUAGACACAAAAUGCUGGAGUAAUUCAGCGGGACAGGCAGCAUCUCUGGGACGAAGGAAUGGGUGACGUUUUGGGUCGAGAGCCUUCUUCAGUUUGAAGAAGGGUUUUUCCGACCCAAAAUGUCACCCAUUCCUUCUCUAGAGGGAUGCUGCCUGUCCCGCUGAAUUACUCCAGCAUUUUGUGGCUAUAAAGAGAUAGAGGGUCAGAUUACUAAAAUGAUUUCAAACAAUCAGAUUCUAUAAAGCUUCUAAAAAUGGAGUUGGAAAGGUUUAGUAAGGGGAUUACAGAGCUUUAAUGCUUUGGCAAAUGAAGGCAUAAUAUUUUUCCGAUGUUAGCUUUGGCUUGAUAACAAUCGAUAGUCAGGAGGGAGCUUGUACAUGUGUCCUUGAUGUGCUGCUCACCUUCAGCUAUACAACUUGGGUGGGUGGUAAGGAACAAGAUCUGAGUUAAAAUUACCCUCCGUAAGUUUGCUCAAGAAAGGUUUUAUUCGAAAAUUAGGUUUUAACCAAACGCAUCCAUUAGUGUGGCCAACACAUCAAUGUGAAAGGAUUAUUGAUGGGUUUACCAGAUUGUCUGCUGUGUCAGUCUUGAAUGGGACUUUCCAAUGGGAGAAUUCCUCAGUGGGAUAAUAUCAUCCGCCUUAAAAAAAAGUACUAAAAAUUGGGUAAACUACAAUUACUCGAAAUAUGAAACAAAACUCGAAAAUGUUGGAAGCACAGCAGUGGAAAGAGAAACAGUUACCGUUUUAGAUCAAAAUCUCUUCAAAGUAAGAUUUAUUCAUAUAAGGAAAACAUGAGAAGAAUAAGCUCACCAACUCACAAGGCAAAUUGGCCAUUCAUUUCUUACAAUUUUCCAACCAGGAAAGAUUGGAAUGUUAUUGGAUUCCUGCUUUAAAAUGGAACAAAAACCGAGAAGCCAACUCAGUUUGUAACUUUUCUGUAAAAACUGCACCAGGUAAAAAUUGUGAUUGCCAUCUAUAAGAUUUCUUUCACAGAGAGAAACAAAGCGGGCAGUGUUAACUGAGGCAGUAGUCUUUCCUUUCCAAGCAAAAAUAUCAUGACAAAAUACACUCCUCUGUGGUCAGUUGCUUGUAUAGAGUCCCUCCUUUCUGCUUUGAAAAAAGGGCUGAGAAAGUUGACUUUUACUGACAAAAACAAAAGGGAAUUCUGCCUUGUGCGUACUGACGGGAGGAGUGAGCCUGUGUCCUUGACGUGCCAGCAUUUUGUUUACUGCUCACCUUCAGCUGUUUCACAUUAUGAACUGCACAGCCACGUGGAGAUACUAAGGCAGCCUGCAGCAGGGAUUUUGUGUCUGAGCCCUAUGCGGUGAAGGACUUAGCUAAUUCUGUGAACAGAUCUUUGAACGCCUUCAUGUUCACAGUGGCUAAGUUCCGCACCUCAGGGGUUGAACUCAAGAGGAUUUCCGGACUUCCAUUUGCAGUUCAUAUGUCAGUGCAGGCUUAAUGUCAUUUGGUCCCCAGGUCUUGCUGCUGCUAAUUAUUCGUCUUGUCUGUGUGACUCAAUGCACUGUUUUUCCAGAUUACUCGAGUACAACAGGCAGAUUAAAGUGAGGGGUUAUUUAAGUGAGGGCCUUGAUUGGAUCCAAACGUAGAUAUCUCAUUUUUAAAAAUACUCCCACACUUCCCUCAGGCGUUGCGGCAGCAUUAUUUUAACCAGACCAAUGCCAUUUAUUUACUCACAAAUGGUGAUUAUAUUGCACAUCUCUAUGGAAUAUCGUGAAUUCUUCUUCAUCAUUUAUUUCCAAUUUAAGUACAAUUUAAGAUGAUUCCAGGCUAAUGUUUGGCAGAAAAUAAUUAGUUUGCCUGUAUAUAAAUACACGUUAUACUGUAGAUAUGGGAUAUUUACACCACAUUCACCCCCUUGCCAGUCACCUACCUCUUCCAUUACCACCUCUACUAGAAUGCAGGGAGACUCACUUGUCUCUGAAGAGGAACAAGAAAGUUCUCAGAAUUACUAACAAAAUGGAGGGAGCCCAUUGUGAGGAGAGGGUUAUUUAGAGGUUAGUGAGGGACCAGUAGUCAUAUAUUCAACAUUUCCUUGCAGUCAGUCCAGGCAUACAGAAGAUAAGUGAAAAGUGCUUCUCAGCAGCUGGGAAAUAUGUUGAUUAGUGUGCGGUGAAUUUGUUUUUUAAAAACCCGCAGAUGCUGGAAAUCUGAAAUAAAAAACAGAACAUUUCAGAAACCUUCAGCAGGUUAGGCAUCAUCUGUGGAAAGAGAAACAGAGUUAACAUUUCAUUUCAAGGAUUAAUGAGUAAAUUAGGAGGUCAGGAAAAGCCAAGCUUGUACUUCUGAUUGCUACGGAAAUGAAGGGGAGAGAGCGAGACGUAUUCCAAUAACCACAGAUCCAAGGCCUAGUGAAAAAUUAACUGUGCUCUGAUGAAAUGUUAACAGUUUCCUGUUAAAUUAGUGCAGUCUUUAGACAAAGUCCAGAAUUAAAGUAGGCGACUAGUGCUAGUAUCGAAUAAAACUCAAUGACAUUGACAGCAGAGGCCGGAGAUAAUGUAAAAUUAAGGGAGACAUUGCAUGUUUUAAGCUUGGAAAUUUAGUACAAUGUUCGCUCAAGAGGUAUAAUCAGAAGGAAUGUGAAGUAUCAAUAGUAUGGGUGAUGUUUUAUAAUCAGUAGAUCUGGUCACUAGGAUGGAAUGGAAGCAGAGAGGAUGGUGAAGCCAUCAGCUACACACUAGGUGGAGUGACUGAACAAAUAGAGGGCAUUAGAAAGUCUGGUUGAGGCAUCUUAAUAUAGUUUUAUUUUCACUCCUGGGAAGCAUUUAAAACAAAAUCACCUCAAAUCAAUUCAUUGGUUCUGGCUCAAAAGGGUCUGGAAAAUUUCUGCUCAAGUAUUAACAGAGGUAGCAAGGAAAGCAGAAGUAGUCAAACUAAAUCUAUGGGAAAAUAUUAAUGUAAGUGAAAAGGGAAUGAUGCAAACUCGCACCACAUUCUGUGCCAUACAAUAUUUUAAAGUUUAUGUUCCUUAAACAAGAAACUAAACUUGUUUCUAGUUUAAGAACAGGGCAAAGAAUACUCCAAAACAGCUUUUUAACACAGAAAUUGAUAUCUAAGUGCUAAUCCCACAUAACCAUCCAAACAAGUUAUUGUACUUUAUGUUAAGAUACAGCACGUCAUGAAGUUCUAACAGACCUAAAAAUGUUUUAUAACUAUUUUCAAUGCUGUUGUAAUGAUUGAUGUUGAAGGGAUAGUACCACUGGGUGGAUCUGCCCAAAAAAACACUUUCUUUUAGAGAAAUCAGACAAGGAAGACCAGCAGAAUUCAACGCAAAAGACAAACUUCUCUAGGAAUUUUAUGAAUGAAGCAGCAUCUGUGGAGGGAAACGGACAGAUGAUGCCUUGGUUCAGGGCCUUUCUUCAAAGUCUGAAGAAGUGGUCCGACCCAAAGCAUCAUCUGCCCAUGUACCUUCAGAGAUGCUGCCUGACCCACCAAAUUCCCCCCACAGUUUGUUUUUUUGCUCAACAUUCCAGCAUCUGAUGUCUCCUAUGUCUCCAAGAUAUCAAUACAGCUUUUUGUGGCUAGAAUUAUCAGCACACUUAUCUUUCACUUGUCGAGUAUUUACAGCACAGAAACAGAUCUGUACCAUUGUUGCUAUUCCACAUGUUUCCUAUAACUGCUUGCUUAUGUGUAAAAAUGUGAACUGGGAAUAUAACAUGAAAUUAUCACAUUGUACAUUUCCCAGCAAACAGAUUGACUUGACUCCCACUUGAGGACAUUAAAUGCAAACAACCUCGCAACAACCAGCAGACCAAGAAAAACUGAUUGUUAUUAUUAAACUAAUUUAUUUGUUGCCUGUGAAUUAAAUGUACCUAAAAAAAUUAACCCAGCGAAAAAGAGAUUUGUUUGUUGAAGGUUUAUAUCUCCUCUGAUGAAUACAAAAAAUGUACAAAAUUAAAGCUAAACAUUAAAGAAGUCUUGCUAAUGGAAA
Long non-coding RNA from Leucoraja erinaceus (little skate), 5442 nucleotides. RefSeq lists it as uncharacterized. NCBI's taxonomy places the organism in Eukaryota, Metazoa, Chordata, Chondrichthyes, Rajiformes, Rajidae. The transcript has 5 exons. The record is from RefSeq and is a predicted model, not a curated record.